This 816-nucleotide ribosomal RNA is filed under the name uncultured bacterium. RNAcentral describes it as "bacterial SSU rRNA". It matches the Rfam family "Bacterial small subunit ribosomal RNA", at positions 8 to 815 of the family's 1533-position model. The record is from RNAcentral.
AGAGUUUGAUCCUGGCUCAGGACGAACGCUGGCGGCGUGCUUAAUACAUGCAAGUCGAGCGAGGUUACUGCGACAGAUCCCUUCGGGGUGAAGUUGCUUUAACCUAGCGGCGGACGGGUGAGUAACGCGUGGGUAACCUACCCUAAAGUUCGGGAUAACAGCGGGAAACCGCUGCUAAUACCGGAUGCCUUUACCGUGUGGCAUCACGAGGUAAAGAAAGGUGACGCUUUAGGAUGGGCCCGCGUCCCAUUAUCUAGUUGGUGAGGUAACAGCUCACCAAGGCGACGAUGGGUAGCCGGCCCGAGAGGGUGGACGGCCACACUGGGACUGAGACACGGCCCAGACUCCUACGGGAGGCAGCAGUAGGGAAUAUUGCGCAAUGGACGGAAGUCUGACGCAGCGACGCCGCGUGAGCGAUGAAGGCCUUCGGGUCGUAAAGCUCUGUCCUUGGGGAAGAAGGUCUUCGGACUUGGCGGUACCCAAGAAGAAAGCCCCGGCUAACUACGUGCCAGCAGCCGCGGUAAUACGUANGGGGCGAGCGUUGUCCGGAAUUACUGGGCGUAAAGGGUGCGUAGGCGGCCCUUUAAGUCANAUGUGAAAGCCCGCAGCUUAACUGCGGAAUUGCAUUUGAAACUGGGAGGCUUGAGUGUCGGAGAGGGUAGUGGAAUUCCCAGUGUANCGGUGAAAUGCGUAGAUAUUGGGAGGAACACCAGUGGCGAAAGCGACUACCUGNACGAUAACUGACGCUGAGGCACGAAAGCUAGGGGAGCAAACAGGAUUANAUACCCUGGUANUCCUAGCCGUAAACGAUGNGUA